This 69-nucleotide transfer RNA is filed under the name Hemidactylus frenatus (common house gecko). RNAcentral describes it as "tRNA-Ala". It matches the Rfam family "tRNA". From Rfam's summary of the family: Transfer RNA (tRNA) molecules are approximately 80 nucleotides in length. The record is from RNAcentral. Lineage: Eukaryota; Metazoa; Chordata; Lepidosauria; Squamata; Gekkonidae.
GAGGUCUUAGCUUAAUUAAAGUGUCUGAGUUGCAUUCAGGAGAUGUAGUUUGUAUUCUACAGGUCUUCA